GUGGGGAAUAUUGGACAAUGGGGGGAACCCUGAUCCAGCCAUGCCGCGUGUGUGAAGAAGGCCUUUUGGUUGUAAAGCACUUUAAGCGAGGAGGAGGCUACCGAGAUUAAUACUCUUGGAUAGUGGACGUUACUCGCAGAAUAAGCACCGGCUAACUCUGUGCCAGCAGCCGCGGUAAUACAGAGGGUGCAAGCGUUAAUCGGAUUUACUGUGCGUAAAGCGCGCGUAGGUGGCCAAUUAAGUCAAAUGUGAAAUCCCCGAGCUUAACUUGGGAAUUGCAGUCGAUACUGGUUGGCUAGAGUAUGGGAGAGGAUGGUAGAAUUCCAGGUGUAGCGGUGAAAUGCGUAGAGAUCUGGAGGAAUACCGAUGGCGAAGGCAGCCAUCUGGCCUAAUACUGACACUGAGGUGCGAAAGCAUGGGGAGCAAACAGGAUUAGAAACCCCAGUAGUCC
RNAcentral lists this ribosomal RNA (451 nucleotides) under uncultured bacterium. Its description in RNAcentral is "partial 16S ribosomal RNA". It matches the Rfam family "Bacterial small subunit ribosomal RNA", at positions 354 to 796 of the family's 1533-position model. The record is from RNAcentral.